This is a non-coding RNA of Pyronema omphalodes CBS 100304, 103 nucleotides long. The record is from Rfam. Lineage: Eukaryota; Fungi; Ascomycota; Pezizomycetes; Pezizales; Pyronemataceae.
GCGCUAAUAGCUCAGUUGGGAGAGCGUCAGACUGAAGUCACGUUCGGUCCAUUCCAUGUCCGGGGUAAUCUGAAGGUCACCCGUUCAAUCCGGGUUUGGCGCA